AUAACAGCACUGAGGAAAGUACAGGAGAAAGAACUGACAAAGGAAAGACUGGAGUCUCCAAGUGAGGACAUACUCAGAGGAUCAGAACCAAGUUUGGCAGUAAAAGUGUUAAAAGACAUGGUGAACAGAAGGAUAUGGCUGAAGUCUGGAAGUGAACAGUUGGGUUAAUAAACAUCGUCAUGGUGGCUGAUAUGUAAAGAAAGAAGAAACUAUGAUGGUUGGGGAAAAGCAGAGGCAAUGCAGAGAUUUCUAGAUGAAGAUUCCUGUGCUGCAAGAAACAGAUGGUGGGCAGCAACACAAAGAGAGAAAGUGAGUUCCCAGGCCUCUUUGCUGUUCACGCUGGGCGCCUGAGCAGAGGAGGAGCAGCUUGAGGCUUGUCCAUCUACUGCAGGACAGCUGUUUACAACCGACUUUUAGCUUGUGAAGUCAGCUGGCAUCUACUGGGAACAGGAAGACUUUUGAGAAAUGAUCUGCAUAUUUUUGAAGGAAACGCUACUCUGCCUAACUGACAACAAAUUGGGGUGAUUUUAUAGUUAGUAUGGCGCUUUAUGUUAUGUAAAGCAGUUUCAACGUCUAGUUUCAUGGGAUGUUCUCAAGGACUUUGAGAGGCUCCAUCAUCCUCACUUUAUUGAUGAGGCUCACAGAGAUUAAACUACUGGCUGAAUAACUAGAACAUGAAACUGGAUUUUCUGGUUUCAAAUCCAGAGCUCUUCUGUCAUUUUGCCGUCUGGAUUUUUACCCAAAUGUCACAGUGGAAGACAUCUUGACAGAGCGCAUCUUGUGGUGAUCAGGCAUUCAUAUUUAUUCCUGGGUCUGUUACUGGUUCUUGCAACUUGUUAAAGGGUGUAGCUCUUACUCCUUCUGCUAAUAGGUUGACGCAUCCUGCAUUUCAAACUUCACGUCAUAAAAUGUGAUAAAAGAUAGACUAUGACUCUUUUGUUCUACUCUACAUAUUUUAAUAUGAUGGACUGGGGCCUUCUAUGAUGUCACCCCCUAAUUUCAUGCUAGGGUUGUUUCGUGUGGGAGAUGAAGUAAUUCAUUGCCCUUUAGGGUAUUCUGGUUAUAAAAAUGUUGGUUUCUGUUUAUAGAAUUUUGCAAUGUGGAGGACUCUGCUCAAGAAAUCCUUUUAAUGGCCACAUAUUUUUAUUUGUAGAAGCAAAAUAUUUUCUCACUGGAAUAUUAUUAUAGUCAAUGUUUGUUUAUUGAGCUAUAUAUACACUCUGUUUUUCAAGAUGGCUGUGAGGAAUUCUACAUUAUUUUUAAGUGACAUAAAAUAUAUUUAUGGACCACUUUAAUAAUCCAUCCCUCACACACAGCCCUCCAUCCCACUCCCAUGCGUUUAUUUAAUUUCAUUAAUAUCUCAAUCUUUAGGUGAAAUAUUUAAUAUUAUGAAGACAUAUAUUCUCCCUAAAUUAAUAAAGUCUAUAAUAUCAAUAUGAUGUUAAUAACGUUUCCAGAUAGACUUUUUUGAGGGAAACUUAAAAAAGGAAAGUAAAGUUCAAUUGGAAAUCAAUUUGUAACAAUACAGGAAACUUCUGAAAAAGGACAGUAGUGCAGGCAGAGAAGGGUCUUAACAAAUAUUGAAUUGAGUUUUAAAGCUACAAGAGGCAAGGCAGAGAGAGUGACCCAGUGGAUAGGCCCUACGAGUGUCUGUGUAUGUGAAGGUGGCAUUUCAAUUAAUCACAGAGAAGGUGGUUCAUUGAGUAACCAGUGUUGGAAUAACAGUGGUUCAUGUGGAAAAGUAAAGGGAUCUCAAUC
Molecule: long non-coding RNA, 1758 nt
Filed under: Equus asinus (donkey)
Lineage: Eukaryota; Metazoa; Chordata; Mammalia; Perissodactyla; Equidae
Description: lncRNA (ENSEASG00005029982.1)
Source: RNAcentral